Sphaerodactylus townsendi is the source of this 913-nucleotide long non-coding RNA. RefSeq lists it as uncharacterized. The record is from RefSeq and is a predicted model, not a curated record. The transcript is spliced from 4 exons. Lineage: Eukaryota; Metazoa; Chordata; Lepidosauria; Squamata; Sphaerodactylidae.
GGAGCCUAGUUCCAGUGCAAACAAAAUGUUGCCUGAAGAUGAAGAGAGGAUACGGAAAUGAAAGCCUGCGCUGUAUUUAAUAUAUAGGAAUCCAGAUCCUGAUACUGAAAUAGAAAUUGCUUUUAUUGAAACAACGAAGAUCUACAGCGUAAAUUCUUAAGCUACAGGUCCCAUAGAAGAGGACGAAGCAGCAGCGGCCUUUGCACCUUUUUCUUCAGACAUCUUCAAAAAGGUAGGUCCUGCAACUCCAGAAAAUAUGAGAAAGCACUGCUGGGGGAAGAGAAAUGCUGUUAAAGUCUGUGCUUCUUGUCUGGAUGGACUGCCAGUUACAACUAACAUACUGACAUUUUCAAACAGCUUUCCAGUAUGACCCAACAUUUAUUCCUGGGCAUCCACUCAACUUCAGCUCCCAGCAUACAUCUGAUGUUAUUUCAAUAUCUGUCGCGCUAGACCUCAUCUACUAUUCUUACUGUGCCUUAUACUUGAGGAUUUUAUCAUCUAAAAUAAUUUGGUGGGAUUCACAAGGUUGUAUACCUUGUUGUUACCCCUGUCCCUUUCCCCUGGAUUGAAAAUUAAGGUAAUAAGUUUGGAAUAUUUUGGAUUUUCUUUUAAAAACUAUACAUUAGAAAGAUUUUUUUUAAUCAGGUGCGUGUUUUAGUUAAAACUGACCAUUUCACGUGUGAAUGCUCUCAAAUACUGCUACCUUGCUAGGUGACAUAUUUUCAACUGGUUAAAUAGUUCUCAAACUUCACUCUUUAUAUAGCCAUUUCAGACCAUUCCCUGGAUGUACAGAAAAUGUAUUUUUAAGAGCCUGCAAAUUCACAGGUCUCCACAAAUUAAGUGCAUAAAACUACCAAACAGUCCGAGCAAUUACAUACUUUGCAAAGAAAAAUAAAGCGAAAACUAGAGUCAA